RNAcentral lists this long non-coding RNA (256 nucleotides) under Sorghum bicolor (sorghum). RNAcentral's name for it is "long non-coding RNA (SBIC_LNC005859)". The record is from RNAcentral. Lineage: Eukaryota; Viridiplantae; Streptophyta; Magnoliopsida; Poales; Poaceae.
GGAACUACAUGUGAAUUUUUCUGCUGUAGCCAAAGGCUUAAAAGUUGAUUGUAUAGUAACACGGUACUAUGAGAUUGUAUGUCAGAUUGCUGUGAAAACCUUGUCAAGGUCCUGUAUUUCCAGCUUUGUGAUCCAAUUUAAUACCUAUUUUGUAUGUCAGAUUGCUGUGAAAACCUUGUCAAGGUCCUGUAUGUCAGAUUGCUGUGAAAACCUUGUCAAGGUCCUGUAUUUCCAGCUUUGUGAUCCAAUUUAAUAC